This 253-nucleotide ribosomal RNA is filed under the name uncultured bacterium. RNAcentral's name for it is "partial 16S ribosomal RNA". It matches the Rfam family "Bacterial small subunit ribosomal RNA", at positions 524 to 776 of the family's 1533-position model. The record is from RNAcentral.
UACGGAGGUGGCAAGCGUUGCUCGGAAUCACUGGGCGUAAAGGGCGCGUAGGCGGGGAGGUAAGUCGGGGGUGAAAUCCCUCGGCCCAACUGAGGAACUGCGCCCGAGACUGCUUCUCUUGAGUCCCGGAGAGGAAGAUGGAAUUCCCGGUGUAGCGGCGAAAUGUGUAGAGAUCGGGAGGAACACCGGUGGCGAAGGCGGUCUUCUGGACGGUGACUGACGCUGAGGCGCGAAAGCGUGGGGAGCAAACGGG